Molecule: ribosomal RNA, 468 nt
Filed under: uncultured bacterium
Lineage: Bacteria
Description: partial 16S ribosomal RNA
Rfam family: Bacterial small subunit ribosomal RNA
Source: RNAcentral
GACGAACGCUGGCGGUGUGCUUAACACAUGCAAGUCGAACGGAAAGGCCCUGCUUUUGUGGGGUGCUCGAGUGGCGAACGGGUGAGUAACACGUGAGUAACCUGCCCUUGACUUUGGGAUAACUUCAGGAAACUGGGGCUAAUACCGGAUAGGAGCUCCUGCUGCAUGGCGGGGGUUGGAAAGUUUCGGCGGUUGGGGAUGGACUCGCGGCUUAUCAGCUUGUUGGUGGGGUAGUGGCUUACCAAGGCUUUGACGGGUAGCCGGCCUGAGAGGGUGACCGGCCACAUUGGGACUGAGAUACGGCCCAGACUCCUACGGGAGGCAACAGUGGGGAAUAUUGCACAAUGGGCGGAAGCCUGAUGCAGCAACGCCGCGUGCGGGAUGACGGCCUUCGGGUUGUAAACCGCUUUCGCCUGUGACGAAGCGUGAGUGACGGUAAUGGGUAAAGAAGCACCGGCUAACUACGUG